RNAcentral lists this transfer RNA (76 nucleotides) under Pseudomonadota bacterium. RNAcentral describes it as "tRNA-Val". It matches the Rfam family "tRNA". From Rfam's summary of the family: Transfer RNA (tRNA) molecules are approximately 80 nucleotides in length. Their secondary structure includes four short double-helical elements and three loops (D, anti-codon, and T loops). Lineage: Bacteria; Pseudomonadati; Pseudomonadota. The record is from RNAcentral. RNAcentral also lists the same sequence under 3 other names.
GGGCGGUUAGCUCAGCUGGCAGAGCGCUUCCUUCACACGGAAGAGGUCACAGGUUCAAGUCCUGUACCGCCCACCA